AGAGUUAAGUACAAAAUUUUAUUUUCUCAUGGCAUGUUAUAUUGAGAUGUGUUAAUUUUUAAAGUUGUUAUUCCGUUUUUACGGCUUUUCUGUUCUGUUCGUGGUGUAUAUCCAGGCCACCCUCACUAGGACACCGGUGGGCUUUAGGGACCCCCUGGGGAUUUUUUCCCCCUUCCUCUAUUCCUGUCCCCCUUGCCUCGCGGCUCCCCACCGCAUUCAGGAACCG
This is a non-coding RNA of Pelobates cultripes (western spadefoot toad), 226 nucleotides long. Lineage: Eukaryota; Metazoa; Chordata; Amphibia; Anura; Pelobatidae. The record is from the annotation of a GenBank genome assembly.